RNAcentral lists this ribosomal RNA (253 nucleotides) under uncultured bacterium. RNAcentral's name for it is "partial 16S ribosomal RNA". It matches the Rfam family "Bacterial small subunit ribosomal RNA", at positions 524 to 776 of the family's 1533-position model. The record is from RNAcentral.
UACGAAGGGGGCUAGCGUUGCUCGGAAUCACUGGGCGUAAAGCGCCCGUAGGCGGACUCUUAAGUCGGUGGUGAAAUCCUGGAGCUCAACUCCAGAACUGCCUUCGAUACUGGGAGUCUCGAGUCCGAGAGAGGUGAGUGGAACUGCGAGUGUAGAGGUGAAAUUCGUAGAUAUUCGCAAGAACACCAGUGGCGAAGGCGGCUCACUGGCUCGGUACUGACGCUGAGGUGCGAAAGCGUGGGGAGCAAACAGG